Molecule: long non-coding RNA, 1355 nt
Filed under: Brassica napus (rape)
Lineage: Eukaryota; Viridiplantae; Streptophyta; Magnoliopsida; Brassicales; Brassicaceae
Description: long non-coding RNA (BNAP_LNC002040)
Source: RNAcentral
CCAGUCGCACCUGCUGUUCUCCAGCUUAGGUUUCCACUUGUAUUUUUAAGGGGACUAUCAAGCGAGCCUCGGACAAGAAUUCGUGACAUGUGUGGCUGGGUGUCUGCAACUGAAACCACUUGAGGUGCUGUAACAGGCCCCUGAGAGAACUCCAGCACAAAAUUUCCAUUGGAAUCACCCCGAUUAACAAUGGGUUCAAUACUGUCUUCGAGCAUCCGCUGUGAUAGUUGGUAAACUAGGUGAUCAAUAGUACGCUGAGGACAUGUCCGCGCGAGGUACAAACUUACACGUUUAGCAACUGAAAAAUAUGUCGCAAAUGCACCUGUUACUUCUCCAGAUGCAUUUGAAUCGCUGUCCUCAAUGCCUUUUGUGAUCAAGAAAUCCAGUACAGGGCUAAUAUUUCUGGGCUUACUAGCAAUAGUACUCCAAAGUUUUUCAAUUUCAUCAGGGAACUGAUCCCCAUGUCGCAUUGUGACAUAGUAAAGACUUUUUAGUGAUCUUUCACUCCAACCCGUGUCCUUGAGUUUCCAGAAAUUAAGGUUCUCAAUCCACGGAGCCAUACAGGUCAAGACCUGAUGUUGAGCAAUUAUAUCAACAGCAUCAAGCUGACGCUGCAUAAUUUCUUCACAAAGGAGCUGGCUUAACUCAGGAUGAUCCUUCGCGAGUUUGCAGGAUAGCUGGUACUGAAACUGUUGAUAAGAAUCCGGAAGAUUACCUACAACCGCUGCUCUAUAGCCUCCUGAACCUUCUAUACCAGCCUCAGCCCACUCACGCAUAGAAAGUGUCUCCAGCAUCUGAAGAGCAUCAUCACGAAUUUGUCUAGAUGGGUCGACUACCUUGUACAGAAUUAGACUCACGAGCCUCUGGAUUUCGCAUUUUGGAAUUUCUAGUCGCAUGUAGACCUCAGCCAACACACUGAAGUACCCAUCAGCUAUAGCCGCAUCAGAGUAAUAACACUGGGAAAAGCACAGGUGUGUUAGUUCACGUAUAUUUUAAAAGAGUCCAAUUAAGGAUGAAGUAACAGGAAUGAGCAAGCAUGGAAGUGAAAAAAGCUUAUCAAGACAAGUUAGGUGCUGUAGGAAAACUAAAUUGACUAUCAAGCGAGCCUCGGACAAGAAUUCGUGACAUGUGUGGCUGGGUGUCUGCAACUGAAACCACUUGAGGUGCUGUAACAGGCCCCUGAGAGAACUCCAGCACAAAAUUUCCAUUGGAAUCACCCCGAUUAACAAUGGGUUCAAUACUGUCUUCGAGCAUCCGCUGUGAUAGUUGGUAAACUAGGUGAUCAAUAGUACGCUGAGGACAUGUCCGCGCGAGGUACAAACUUACACGUUUAGCAACUGAAAAAUAUGUCGCAA